RNAcentral lists this long non-coding RNA (1136 nucleotides) under Marmota monax (woodchuck). Lineage: Eukaryota; Metazoa; Chordata; Mammalia; Rodentia; Sciuridae. The record is from RNAcentral.
GUAUAUCACAAUUUUAAGUUGUGCUUUUUCAGAUGGGAAAUCUAAAGGUGCAAAAACUUUUUUAUGGGUUACAUAAGUAAUAAUUAUAGGAUCUGAAUCUGUCACCUAAAUCUUUAACAAAGUUUUAUGUUCAUUCUUCUAUGCUGCACUAUCUUCUUUUGCUUAUAGAAGUGAAUAUGACCAUAUGCACUACACAUUUAUCAUUAUCUCACCAGUAUUUUAUGUCUUUGGACUGUAUCUGACAUUAUAGGAAGCAUUCAACACUAUUGCAUCAACAAAUAUUGAAUGUAAAAAAAUCUUUUGACAGUAACAUCUGAUAUCGUUUGGCCUCUUUUUCUUUAUUUUCUGGAAAAGGUACCAUAGGUAAAGCUGCUUAUUCUCUGAGCUUCAUGAUAUUUCCAAAACUGCCAUGUACUUUGAAUUAUGAAUCAACUAAUAACAAUAUUUAAAGGACUUCUGGGCCAAAAGGACUGUUUAAGUGCUAAGUUAUAUGCUUAGGGUAAAAAAGCAUUAUAAAUAUUAAUAUUUAAUAAUCUUUAUAUAUAACAUUUUUGGAGGUCUUUUGAAUUUUAUUUCUUUGUCCUUUAUUUCUUUGUUUUCUUUGUUGACCUACUUUCACCUUCCCUCCUUUUUCUAGUUUAGUGAGCUGUUCUCUGGAAGCUAUAUUCUUUCUUCUGCCAAAACUUCAAAUCUAAUUUUGGAACAACUUCUGUAGGUAAUUUAAGUACAGAAGGUAGAUUGAGUGCUCAUUUUGCUUUUGAUUUAUAUAUGACAUCUGUUUGGAACCAAACCUUUUCUUUUUUCAGAAACAAAACAAGAAUUUUUUUGGUAUAUGUAGGGCAAAGGAAAAUUAUCUGAGAAAUAAAUUCUUUUGUUUCUAAAAGAAAAGUCAGCACAGCUUAUAAGAGUGUAUUUGAUCAAGACCAAAAGAGUCCAGAAAGAAAGCAUAACAUACAGUUGGCUUUCAAGAAAAAGCUUACUGAGUGAUGAGUGAAGGAAAAUAUGUGCCCAUAUUUUUAUGGCCUACAUAGAAAGUAGGAUGUAACUUUCUCUUUUCUGACCCACUACUGAAGAAGAGAGAGAGUUGCUGUUUUCAGAGCUUGUUCUAGAAUCCCACUUAAUAAGUGCCUCACUCU